UUAAUUGAAACCAAAUAGAGGUAUAUCACUGUUAAUGAUAUUAUUGAAUUAAAAUAUUCCAAUUAAA
This 67-nucleotide transfer RNA is filed under the name Parnassius dongalaicus. Its description in RNAcentral is "tRNA-Asn". The record is from RNAcentral. Lineage: Eukaryota; Metazoa; Arthropoda; Insecta; Lepidoptera; Papilionidae.